AAGUCGUAACAAGGUUUCCGUAGGUGAACCUGCGGAAGGAUCAUUAACACUUACUGUUUAAAGUUUAACUUUUAUAAUUAAACUUCAAACAUGUAUUUCAACAAACUCGUGCUCCUUUUUUUUCCAAACCUUUAACUAUUUUAAAUUUAUCUUUUAGCAGUUUUUCGUUUUUUAGCUGUUUUUGUUUUUCAAACAAAAACACUUAAUCAACGGAAAUGUAUGUAAUAACAAUGUUAAAUAGUAUUUUUAUAUGUACAUUAUGUACAGAUAAGAAUAGCUAUAACAGAGUUAAACAAACAACUGUUAACAAUGGAUAUCUAGGCUCUC
RNAcentral lists this unclassified non-coding RNA (327 nucleotides) under fungal sp. Its description in RNAcentral is "partial internal transcribed spacer region". The stretch from base 1 to 46 matches the Rfam family "Eukaryotic small subunit ribosomal RNA", at positions 1786 to 1831 of the family's 1831-position model. The record is from RNAcentral. Lineage: Eukaryota; Fungi.